AUGAGAAGAACCUGGAGCUCAUUGGCAGCAUCCUCAGUGAAGGAUCCGUCCCUCUCUGACAGCUCCACUGUUGGGCUUCAGGCACUGUUUGCACUACUGGAAGCAAAAGCACAGAGGAAUCAACACCAUCUUCAACUGGUGGGACAGGUUUCCUUGCUGUGCUCCUCUGAUGGAUGUGCAAGAUCAAGGAAUAUUCGGCAGGAGGGCGAGAGGGAGAGAAGUCUCCCGGGGAGAUGGUCACUUCACUUCCUCCUUCCUGUAACCUCUGGUAGCCAGUCUCCUAUUCUCCGUUUCUCUGAAAUCAGCCUUCGAUUGGGGAAAGGAAAAGGAGGUCACAGUGGCCCCAGGACUCUUGGAUUUGCUGUUUUCUCAAGAGGUAAUAUUCCUCCUUCAGAGGGGUACAUGGCUGGCCUCUCACUGCUUUCAGGUUUGUACUCUAACUUUAUCAACGAGUUUUCCUGA
This 462-nucleotide long non-coding RNA is filed under the name Sus scrofa (pig). RNAcentral's name for it is "lncRNA (ENSSSCG00070014066.1)". The record is from RNAcentral. Lineage: Eukaryota; Metazoa; Chordata; Mammalia; Artiodactyla; Suidae.